This 457-nucleotide ribosomal RNA is filed under the name uncultured bacterium. RNAcentral describes it as "partial 16S ribosomal RNA". It matches the Rfam family "Bacterial small subunit ribosomal RNA", at positions 28 to 523 of the family's 1533-position model. The record is from RNAcentral.
GAUGAACGCUGGCGGCGUGCCUAAUACAUGCAAGUCGAGCGGUAAGGCCCUUCGGGGUACACGAGCGGCGGACGGCUGAGUAACACGUAGGAACGUACCCCAAACUGAGGGAUAAGCACCAGAAAUGGUGUCUAAUACCGCAUGUGGCCCACGGGCUAAAGCUCCGGCGGUUUGGGAACGGCCUGCGUCCGAUUAGCUAGUUGGCGAGGUAAAAGCUCACCAAGGCGACGAUCGGUAGCUGGUCUGAGAGGAUGAUCAGCCAGACUGGGACUGAGACACGGCCCAGACUCCUACGGGAGGCAGCAGUAGGGAAUUUUCCACAAUGGGGGCAACCCUGAUGGAGCAACGCCGCGUGCAGGAUGAAGGCCUUCGGGUUGCAAACUGCUUUUAUCUGUGACGAUUAUGACGGUAGCAGAUGAAUAAGGACCUGCUAACUACGUGCCAGCAGCCGCAGUAA